This 253-nucleotide ribosomal RNA is filed under the name uncultured bacterium. RNAcentral describes it as "partial 16S ribosomal RNA". It matches the Rfam family "Bacterial small subunit ribosomal RNA", at positions 524 to 776 of the family's 1533-position model. The record is from RNAcentral.
UACAGAGGUGACAAACGUUGUCCGGAAUUAUUGGGCGUAAAGGGCGCGUAGGCGGUUGGGUAAGUCCGGUGUGAAAUCUCUGAGCUCAACUCAGGAACUGCAUUGGAUACUGCCCAGCUUGAGUACGGUAGAGGAGGGUGGAAUUCCCAGUGUAGCGGUGAAAUGCGUAGAUAUUGGGAGGAACACCGGUGGCGAAGGCGGCCCUCUGGACCGAGACUGACGCUGAAGCGCGAAAGCUAGGGGAGCAAACGGG